This 253-nucleotide ribosomal RNA is filed under the name uncultured bacterium. RNAcentral's name for it is "partial 16S ribosomal RNA". It matches the Rfam family "Bacterial small subunit ribosomal RNA", at positions 524 to 776 of the family's 1533-position model. The record is from RNAcentral.
UACGAAGGGGGCUAGCGUUGCUCGGAAUCACUGGGCGUAAAGGGUGCGUAGGCGGGUCUUUAAGUCAGGGGUGAAAUCCUGGAGCUCAACUCCAGAACUGCCUUUGAUACUGAGGAUCUUGAGUUCGGGAGAGGUGAGUGGAACUGCGAGUGUAGAGGUGAAAUUCGUAGAUAUUCGCAAGAACACCAGUGGCGAAGGCGGCUCACUGGCCCGAUACUGACGCUGAGGCACGAAAGCGUGGGGUGCAAACAGG